RNAcentral lists this ribosomal RNA (392 nucleotides) under uncultured bacterium. Its description in RNAcentral is "partial 16S ribosomal RNA". It matches the Rfam family "Bacterial small subunit ribosomal RNA", at positions 523 to 917 of the family's 1533-position model. The record is from RNAcentral.
AUACGGAGGAUCCGAGCGUUAUCCGGAUUUAUUGGGUUUAAAGGGUGCGCAGGCGGGAGAUUAAGUCGGCGGUGAAAUUUUUCAGCUCAACUGUAAAAGGGCCUUCGAUACUUGGUUCCUUGAGUGUGGAUGAAGUAGGCGGAAUUUGGGGUGUAGCGGUGAAAUGCUUAGAUAUCACGAGGAACUCCGAUUGCGCAGGCAGCUUACUAAACCACUACUGACGCUCAGGCACGAAGGCGUGGGGAUCAAACAGGAUUAGAUACCCUGGUAGUCCACGCAGUAAACGAUGAUUACUGGCUGUUUGCGAUACAAUGUAAGCGGCUGAGCGAAAGCGUUAAGUAAUCCACCUGGGGAGUACGUUCGCAAGAAUGAAACUCAAAUGAAUUGACGGG